Molecule: transfer RNA, 135 nt
Filed under: Solirubrobacterales bacterium
Lineage: Bacteria; Bacillati; Actinomycetota; Thermoleophilia; Solirubrobacterales
Description: tRNA-Arg
Source: RNAcentral
GCGCCCGCUGAGAACGGUGACCCGGCGUGACCUACGUGCUGCUCGCCGAAACUCGGCUGCAAAAGGGUCUAAUUCCUACCGCCCGCCUGCUCCCUCCUAAGGAGUAGGCCCCAGGUUCGAAUCCUGGUCGGGGCA